AUACCCAGGUAGUCCACGCCGUAAACGAUGAGUGCUAAGUGUUAGAGGGUUUCCGCCCUUUAGUGCUGAGGUUAACGCAUUAAGCACUCCGCCUGGGGAGUACGGCCGCAAGGCUGAAACUCAAAGGAAUUGACGGGGGCCCGCACAAGCGGUGGAGCAUGUGGUUUAAUUCGAAGCAACGCGAAGAACCUUACCAGGUCUUGACAUCCUCUGACAACCCUAGAGAUAGGGCUUCUCCUUCGGGGGCAGAGUGACAGGUGGUGCAUGGUUGUCGUCAGCUCGUGUCGUGAGAUGUUGGGUUAAGUCCCGCAACGAGCGCAACCCUUGAUCUUAGUUGCCAUCAUUAAGUUGGGCACUCUAAGGUGACUGCCGGUGACAAACCGGAGGAAGGUGGGGAUGACGUCAAAUCAUCAUGCCCCUUAUGACCUGGGCUACACACGUGCUACAAUGGACGGUACAAAGAGCUGCAAGACCGCGAGGUGGAGCUAAUCUCAUAAAACCGUUCUCAGUUCGGAUUGUAGG
RNAcentral lists this ribosomal RNA (522 nucleotides) under uncultured bacterium. RNAcentral describes it as "bacterial SSU rRNA". It matches the Rfam family "Bacterial small subunit ribosomal RNA", at positions 782 to 1304 of the family's 1533-position model. The record is from RNAcentral.